CUAAGAAUAUUCCGCAAUGGACGAAAGUCUGACGGAGCGACGCCGCGUGGAUGAAGAAGGCCGAAAGGUUGUAAAGUUCUUUUGCUAGGGGAGAAUAAGUGAGGGAGGGAAUGCCCUCAUGAUGACAAGGACUAGCGAAUAAGCCCCGGCCAACUACGUGCCAGCAGCCGCGGUAACACGUAGGGGCGAGCGUUGUUCGGAAUUACUGGGCGUAAAGGGCAUGUAGGCGGCUUGGUAAGCCUGGCGUGAAAGACUGCAGCUUAACUGUAGGGAUGCGUUGGGAACUGCUUAGCUUGAGUUACGGAGAGGGAGCUGGAAUUCCUGGUGUAGGGGUGAAAUCUGUAGAUAUCAGGAAGAACACCGAUGGCGAAGGCAAGCUUCUGGUCGAUAACUGACGCUG
Molecule: ribosomal RNA, 400 nt
Filed under: uncultured bacterium
Lineage: Bacteria
Description: bacterial SSU rRNA
Rfam family: Bacterial small subunit ribosomal RNA
Source: RNAcentral